This 499-nucleotide ribosomal RNA is filed under the name uncultured bacterium. Its description in RNAcentral is "partial 16S ribosomal RNA". It matches the Rfam family "Bacterial small subunit ribosomal RNA", at positions 30 to 523 of the family's 1533-position model. The record is from RNAcentral.
AUUGAACGCUGGCGGCAUGCUUUACACAUGCAAGUCGAACGGUAACAGGGUGCUUGCACCGCUGACGAGUGGCGAACGAGUGAGUAAUGCGUCGGAACGUGCCGAGUAGUGGGGGAUAACGCAGCGAAAGUUGUGCUAAUACCGCAUACGUACUGAGGUAGAAAGUGGGGGACCUUCGGGCCUCACGCUCUUCGAUCGGCCGUAGUCUGAUUAGCUAGUAGGUGAGGUAUAGGCUACCCUAGGCGACGAUCAGUAGCGGGUCUGAGAGGAUGAUCCGCCACACUGGGACUGAGACACGGCCCAGACUCCUACGGGAGGCAGCAGUGGGGAAUUUGGACAAUGGGCGAAAGCCUGAUCCAGCCAUGCCGCGUGUCUGAAGAAGGCCUUCGGGUUGUAAAGGACUUUUGUCAGGGAGGAAAUCCCUAGUGCUAAUAACACUGGGGGAUGACAGUACCUGAAGAAUAAGCACCGGCUAACUACGUGCCAGCAGCCGCGGUAA